GGUAAACAACAUUUCAGAUGCACUUUUCAAUUAGUUCUCGAAUCGAGUUGCAUCGGACGAGUCUCUCCCAGCAGCAUGCCCAGUUCACGAGGAUGAAGCGUUUUAGUAGCACAGGGGUAUGUAACAUCACAUAGGCGGUUCUCGCGUUGCGUUAUUUAGCCCGCGCUGCACAGAACACGUUUUCGCGGCGUCUUCCUGGAGGAUUAGUAAACGAUGGACCUGCACAUCUUGGACCACAAAUUACGGGUCACAUCAAUAAGCAAAACGGGACUCCAGCAGUACACACACCCCCUGAUCAAACUGAUAUUUCUCAGAAACAGGACGAGAUGCAAAUUUUUCAGUCUCACAGAGACUCCGGAAAAUUACACAGUUGUCCUCGAUGAGGAGGGAUUUAAAGUAGCUCCUCUUUCAACGCAAGAGCUCCAGCCGUCUGAACACUUACAGGUGGAGGGCUCCACUUGGCUCCCUCUCAAUGUCGUCUCCAAUGGCAACGCCUCCAGCAGCUCACAGGCCGUGGGCGUCACCAAGAUCGCCAAAUCUGUUAUCGCUCCAUUGGCUGAGCAGCAUGUGUCCGUCUUCAUGCUCUCCACCUAUCAAACCGACUUUAUUCUGGUGCGAGAGAAGGACCUGUCGGUGGUGGUGGAGACUCUGGUGGAGGAGUUUAAUAUUUUCAGAGAGGAGGGAGGAGAGUCGGUGCCUGUGCACAGUCAGGACGCCUGCGACAGCCUCCAGCGAAACGGUAGAGAGGUUCCACAUGCAACAGUUCAUCCGGUGCUGAUUCCAGAGAAUCAAUUCUGUGUAAUGAGCUUGGAUCCGGACACACUGCCGGCGAUCGCCACCACCCUCAUAGACGUUCUGUUUUACUCUAACAGUCCUAAAGAGGGCGCCAGUGUUGAUCAGGACAUGGAGUGUAUCAAGUUCUUCUCCUUUUCUCUGAUUGAUGGAUACGUCUCUUUGGUGAUGGACACAGAAGCACAGAGACAAUUCCCUGCUGAUCUUCUCUUCACCAGCUCAUCUGGUGAGCUCUGGAGGAUGGUGAGAAUAGGAGGGCAGCCUCUCGGCUUCGAUGAAUGUGGGAUAGUCGCUCAGAUCUCUCAGCCUCUCGCAGACAGCGAUAUAUCAGCAUAUUAUAUUAGCACCUUCAGCUUUGAUCAUGCUCUGAAAAGCGGAAAUGGUCCGAUUUGACUGAUCACGAGUGGCGGAGUGGUACCUGAAGCGGAUAUACAGCCGUUUUGACGUUUAAGACAUUAGUAUGGUAUGUCCACAUUUUCACUUAACUUCAUCAUCAUUAUGAAAUGAAUAUUAGCCCUAUUAUAGUCUUCACUGGAUGUUUUUAUGCGGUAUUUGCAUUUAUUUACAUGUGAUUUGAUUAGCUACUGCUAUGGUGGAUGAUUUUGGCUAAUGUGCAUCAGAGGGGAUGUAGAAAUGAGUAAGUAAAGCCGACUGAUGAACAGGGUGGUAUACCAACACCUUCUCACUCCCAAGUUUUCACAAAUUACCACUUGGGCAGGACCCUUUGGCCUCAUUUUAUGACGCACGGGGUUCCCCUUCAGUUUUCGCCAUAAAGGUCAUCCAUUAUAUAUACACACAUGCAUAUAACUUCUGCUUCUUCACUCAGUGUAAAUGGGUAUGUGGGUAUAAAUGGGUAGGCUCGCUCAAGACUUGCGAAAGCGAUUAAACCCGGAGUUACGCAAAAAGCGUCGUAGAGCAACACAAGACGCAAGUUUUUCAAAGCCAUAAAAAGAAUGAACGGAAAGGUAGCAAGCAAAUAAAUAUUGCGCCAUAUUGUUGCUGUCGUUGUUGUUGCUCUUUGAAAGGUAAAAAAUGAAUAAACCUUAUUUUUUAAUCAAACUUUUAGGCUAGGCGUGAGCGUCGCGCAACGUUUACGUCAAUCGACACCCCGCCUCCAGCAGCGCGGGAAAACAGAGUCGCUCAAAAUUUUCGAGCUUCUUUUUGCCUUCAAAAGGAGAACGAAAAAGAAUUUCGUUUGAAGUAUAUCUUUUUGAAUAAAUAGUGAUGUUAGUUGUGUCUGGCUGGUAUAUAUUGCGUUUUAUUGACAGACGGUACAUUUAGGGGCAGGGGUUGGGUCGCGCGCUCAUAAAACGUGUAAAUAAUGUAACAUAAAUAAAACUGCUGUGAUUAUUUACAAUGGAAAAUCACACCCCAACAUAUAUGCAAUAAUGGCAGUGUCAUUACCCGAUAUAUAAUUUAAUCAUUUCAAGUAUCUCACGGAGGACCCUGCACGUCAAAACAUUAUGCUAAAGGGCUCUGUGCAUCAAAAAGUGACACCAAAGGGUCCUGACCAAGCGGAAAUAUAUGACAAGAUUUGUCCCACGUAACAUGGAAAUGUCCGACAUGUAACUUUGAACAGAAGAUGACUUAGGAGAAAUAAAAUACACACUGUAUCUCCCACGUAUACUCCCAGGAACUCAUUCACAGGCGACACGGGCAUUCAAGUCAAAUGCAGUCAACGAAUAAUAACAGAAAGCAUGUGAGUGGUGACUUUAUGUCUGCGCGUGUAUUAAAUGCGUCCCAACGCGUGGCCUGAUCAAACUAGCUUACUGUAGGCUGCUCGUACCACAGAACUGAAUUUCGCUCCACAUUGCAUUCACAUUUCAUCAUCUCUCAACUAGAAGUAAAAUCAGGGGUUUCACUGAAUUUAUUCGCAUAUCACAUGAUUGAAUGGCACGAAACGGUGUCCUAAACAGGGACCCCGAGGGCAAGCUUUUUAGGUUCACCCGCGGCCGACUUCAAGAGCCUAAACGUGAUCACCAGAACUCAAGGAAACGUCGAAUCAUUACAUAUCACGCUCAUCUGCUCACAACUAUCCGCAAAGAAGAUAAUUUUGCUACGUUUAAUUGAAAGUGUGUGAGAUAACAUCUUUCUUUUCUUAUGACUAAGCACCCAUAGGCGUAUAAAAGACAAGAUUUGAGCAUGAAAAGGCAUUAUGCUCUGAAGAGUUGCUCUUGCACACCGAGUAAAAAGAAACAGCACAGUGAUUUUUUUUUUUACCAUGGAGCUAAAAACCGGACUUGUGAUUUUCUGGACUUUAAUGAUGAUUCAGGGGAUGACAUGCAGACCGACAAAUGAGCAUAUAUGUCCUUUUAAAAAACGCGUUCAAAGGACAAAGAGCGAAAUGGAAAAGCUCCUGAAAGACUCCGUCUUAAAUGUCGGAAAAAAUGUUAAACCGUUGCCGGAUAUCCCAGAACUUCAGCUGAAAAAUUUGUCCUGCGAAGAGAAAACUAGGAAAGCGCAGUGUGGAGUUGAAUUUAUGCAGGAGGCUGUUCAGCUGAUACUUAAACACCAACUUGAGCAACACGAUGACAACAAGCCCAUUAUUAAAGAGUUAAACACAACUUAUCUUAAUUUAGGGCACACCAAGGUCUGCGUUGCAUCUCAUAUAGGCAAUUGCACAAACGUAACGAUGCCUAACUUCAAGUCUAAUGAAACGUAUCAUAAACAACAGUGGUACGUCACCGUUUUUAAGAACGCUGUGGACUUUCUGGACGAGCUGGUAAAAAUCCAAGAUCAUGCUCCGUGCAGACACCACAAACCCAAACAUGCUUGACUCCCAAGAAAUAAUGCAUUUCAUUUGUCAGCCGCACUUAUUGAUAUACGAAGGUUGGUCACUUCCUCUUAAAGCGGUUCUUUUAUUACUAGAUUUUACAAGAUGUGCUCAUGUUAAUGUUUUAUAUUUAUUUGUACAAUUUAUAUAUUUAUUUUUUAUACACUUUGCAAAAUUUGGUAUUUUUAGGAAAAAAAAUUCUAUUUAAGAUAUUUAUAUUAUUGUCACUUCAUCCAUGUUGUUCUGUAUUGUAAUUUAUUACAAUUAAAUGCAUGUUAUUUAUAAUCAUUUUUUCAGUAUUUUGAUAUGCCGUUUCAUUAUUUUUAAAAUGCUGCCAACAUAUUUAACAUUACAAAUAGUAUUUA
This is an RNA transcript of Puntigrus tetrazona (Sumatra barb), 3930 nucleotides long. It is a transcript of the gene named cytosolic arginine sensor for mTORC1 subunit 1, with no coding region annotated. The transcript is spliced from 12 exons. NCBI's taxonomy places the organism in Eukaryota, Metazoa, Chordata, Actinopteri, Cypriniformes, Cyprinidae. The record is from RefSeq and is a predicted model, not a curated record.